This is a non-coding RNA of Podarcis lilfordi (Lilford's wall lizard), 71 nucleotides long. Lineage: Eukaryota; Metazoa; Chordata; Lepidosauria; Squamata; Lacertidae. The record is from the annotation of a GenBank genome assembly.
UAAAUAGCUCAGUUGUUACAGCAUGAGAUUUUUAAUCUCAGAAUCGUGGGUUGGAGCCCCACAUUGGGCAA